AGGAAGUGCAUGUGAGGGGUCUGUAGUUCUUGGAGGCUCUUUCCAGCCAUGGGAUGUGAUGGGAGGGGCUGAGAUGGUGUGGCUGGGGAUCCAACUCUACACUUGCUGUUAGUGUGGGCCUCGGGCGGGACACAUGCAUACGAUCUGUGCGUGGGCGGGGGGGGGGUGCCCAGUCUCCGAGGCUGGACGCAUGCAAGCCAUCUGUGCGGGGCGGGGGAGGGGGGCUGCCCAGUCUUCCCGAUUCGUGGCAAUGCACGAAGGAACAACGGAGCUAAUGCAUGUGAAGACAAUAUUUGAAAGUUGAAGAAAACAGAAAUGCAUGCUGUGAAUGUUUCUGUGGCUUCCUAUUUAAAUGAGGAGUAGCCGAGCACGUGUGGGGACAGCGAUGGAAGGCUAUAAUUGAGUCUGCUUAUGUAAAUGUGAUGUUUUUCUUAAACUCUUUCCAAAGAAUUCUAAAGGAAGUCAUAAGACUAAAAGUCAUUUUAAGGAACUUUUUUUUUCCCUUUCUUUUUGGAGUAGAAAAGACUUUUCAUUUUUGGAGCGAACAGAAAACUUUAAAAAAAAGAAGAAGAAAGAAAAAGAAAAAAGGAUCCAGUAUUUAACACAGGGAACAUAGAGUUUCGGCCCUAGCAGAUGCCACAAGGCAGGUCAACACCACCUAAAAGCCAGUGUUCGAUCUCCUCAUUAUUGAGUUUAACGACUUGGCUUGGAAGGGGCAACCCAUUUGAACUUUAACCCUUAAAUUCUAAGCGGAUAUUGGGUUAGAAAAUUAUGAAAAACAAAACAAAACAAAACAGAAGACUCCUAUAGGUAAACAGGAUCAUUCUUCAAAGGGACUUCACUCCAGUAGAGAAAACCAGCGAUCAUGGAUAUGCAAGGCCUCCGUACCAGGUUUUGAUGACCUUCUAGAGUCCUAACCCACUCCUCACCUGGAACUGAAGCCAGGAGAUGUCUGCAGCCCUGAGAGCCUCAAGGAAAUAAGGCAGAACAAGACAAGCAAGAAACAGUCGGGUGAGAAAAAUCAACGUGAUGGCAAAUUGACAAGCUUGCUUAACUGGGGGCGCCAGAGCCAAGGGCUGACCCCAGAGACCUCCUGACACACCAGGAGCCGUCUCCCUUAAUCUAUUCAAUGGCAUGACACCACUACAUUUUUUUUUUAAAAAGUCAAACAUCAACCUAACUUUUUCUGCCAUUGUGUUUUAAAUUCUGAUGUCUCCCUCGUCUUCCUUUCCUCUGCACUAAAUUAUUAAAAUCACCAACUGCUCAACAAUUAAAAAUAUUUCAGAAAGCGGUGAUGCCAAAUUUGGAUCGACUAAAGUGAAAUCCGACAGAAGGAAAGAUAUUUUCAACCUCUCCGCACUUUGAUGCAUUGUUUAAGGAUAUGGCAACGUGGGAUUAAAACUGACUGCUUGGUCGCCCCUCCCCGCCCCCGCCCACCCUGUAAAACCAGCGAAUGUGUUUACUCGUUUGACGCCAUUAGAGCCUCAUUCCGAUCAUGAGGCACCUGAGUGAAAGACACUAUUGUAUUUAAUUUACAACACACUGGGUUUUUUCCCUCUUCUUGCAUUACUUCCCUUAUGAAAUAUGUUCAAUCUAUGACAUGAUGGUACAACCAACCAACCAAUCAGUCAAGAGUUUUGUUUAGGGAACUCAGAAUGAGGACAAGCUGAAGUUCUUGGCUUUAAGAAGAAUGUUUAGAGUUUUACUAAAUCAUCUAGUUACACACAUUUACACAAGCGAAGGUGUACAGCCAGUGUCACGAGGAAGCAGGAACUCCCUUUGCCACUGUGUAAAAUCCCACCUCAGGCACUGGCUUCCCUUGUUGGUGUGUGAUAGACCCUGGGCAGGCUCUUCCUCAUGUCUGACCGCUCCUUCCCUUUAUUCUGCUGCAUCUACUUCCGUUCUACUUAGUUCCACAGCUGGGUUCCAAAAACCUCACCGAAAUUUCAUUGUCCACGGUGCUAAAGAUGCAAAGACCGAUUGGCCUUGCUGCUUAGUCCAUGAAUUAACGACUCCUUUCACAGCGUGGCACCGUAUGUAAGGAAGUAAGUGGGCUGUGCUUCACAAAGUGGGGGGGGGGUAGUUAUUUGGUUGCAAAUCUACUGUUUUUUUUUCUAUGUAAGGAAAUGCUCAGAGCAAUGCUAGUGGUUACACCACUGAUCAAAUGAGAGCGUAUUUAAUGCCUAAUGUGACCCCAAUCCUCUACCACAGUGUAGAAAAGUACAGUGCAGGAAAACUACACUGUUGUAUGUAUGGAUGUACCAACUCUCAGAGCAUGGAAAAUACAUUCAAACAUUAGCUUGCUCUUAAUUUUUAUAUUAAGAAGUCAAGUGCGGUAAGAUCAAGCAAGAAGUAACUGCCCAAGGGUAAGCUAUUGAAGAAGGAACAGGUCCCUUUCUGGAACUUAGGCUUCAGACCUCAGAACCCCUGGUCUUCCUCCUAGGAUAUUUUGAAACUGUCCCAGAGCAUCUCAGGGGUAACACAGUCAUAGCAAGGCAGUGAAUUUUAGCUAAAGUUGUAACUAUGCUCACAGAGAACUUCCUACUUUAAAAAUAUUUGCUUUGAUCCUCGUGUCUCUGAAAGUGAGUGUAUUGUGGGCGGCUGCACUCUCCCUGAGGUAGCUUCCUUGGCUUGGGGAUAAGUUGUUGGUCAAGUAUACGUUACCAGAUUGGUUAGUUCUUGACUCUGUCUCAAUGGCUGAAGAAUUCCCCUUCAAUUCUUAGGCGAGGAACUCAACAUACUGAUUAAUUAGAAAACUAAGGUGCUGCUAAAAAACAAAGGUUUGUGAAGCUGGUCCUGUUUGGUUUGUACCGAAGUCACCGGAGAGCCUUUUGUCUGUCUGUUGCAUGGCUUAAGUGAAGGAUUAAACAUACCCAGACACUUAAUAAGGCAUUAGUUACGCAAGCCUUACAUAUUUUACCGAGCAUUUUAAGCAAAAGCUUAAAUUCUCAAGAAAAUUAGGCCAAAGUAGGAAUUUCUUUCUUUCCUAAGAGACCAAACGAGGCUCUAGGAACUAUUAACCAUUAACAAAUGAGUAGCAUUGAAAAAAAAAAAAGAUUUAAAUGCCUGGAUAUUCCAAACAGACGUGUGUACUGCUCGUUGCUAGGACGAGUGUCAGAAGUGAAUCCAUUGUGACUGGCUGCCUAAAUGCAGUGUCUCUCACUAUUUUUAGGCUCCUACUACAUCCUCUGCAUGAAGGCUCGCCCUUGCCCUUCUGCCUAGCUCCAUCCGACUUGCACACACGUAAACGCACACACACACACACACACACACACACACACACAGAGCUUAUCAGUGCGAUCCACUGCUUUUGCUUUGUGGGUAGAAUAUUGUGCUUUGCCACACGUUUCAAAGCUGCAAGCUUUUGUUAGCUCCCUUUGGAAAUCUGCGAUGGUGUGAAGCGACCUUCUGUCCCCACUCAACGGAGUGCAAACAUAGUUUAGUUCUUGCUAAAGACCUGGAUCCUAUCUUCGAGAUCGGAUGAUCCAAUCAGAGCCUCCAGCAGGACUGCUUAUAGCCGGUCUGGUUCCAAUGUGUGAAAUGGAUAUAAUGUUUCAGAGUGUGUAGCUGACUAACUGCUGCUUCCGUUUUAUGCCUUCAAGAUAAGCCCUUGGCAGGGAUUUUUUAUAAGCACACACAAAAGAAAACAACACAAGCUCAUCAGCCCUUCAGAAAUCCUUGGAAGAUGAAAGCCGAGCCGGCAGUGGUGCCUACUGCAGGGCCUGUUUGACCCCAUCCUCUCACAGAGAUUAAGGAACUGUCAGUGUCUAAGGUGCUAACCCACAGAAGCCAUUAAUUCUGUGUUUGAAGGAAAUCCUCUGGUGAAGGACCUGUUUGAUGGACACAAAGGAAUGGUGACCAAGUCCUUCCAGAGCCGACUGCUCAGUGCCGGCUGCCUCCCACAUCCGCCCAGCGGCCUCACUUGGCACAGUGUUUCUUUGGCUCAGAAGAUUUUGAUGAGCGAUUCCACUUGGAGAGGGCUUUUGUUUAGUUGUGACCCUGUGACUCUGGGCAAGAGAUUACCAGUGGCUUGGGACAACCAGACACGAUAUUUUAGAAAGCUUUGCCAAUGUUCCUGUCUGCUCUCUCUACCUGUAGGUACAUGGUGACCCUGUGAGUCAGGCAGGGGACUAGUAAAGAAGAGGUUCUGUGUUUCACUCAGGGCAACGGACUUAAUGGCAGGGUUAACCUAAAAGUCCUCUCUGUCCCCUAUGGAAUUUGCACAUUUUUUUAAAGAUGAGAACUUCACCUAGUCUGGACCCUUUUGUCAGCCAGAGAAUAGGUAUGUGACCUGGAACGCAAACAAGCAAUGCUCUUAUGUCAUUUUAAAUCAGACAGACCUGGGCUCAUCUGCUACCAUGCAAACUAGCAAACUAUUCUAUACGACAUGUUUUUUUUUUUUUUUGAAAAAAUAAAAAGAGAUUUAACAUACCAAAAUCAACAGCAUAAGCAGAGAUGCACCCUGCAAGUCAGAGGAAGCUGUCAGCACACACAGACCCCAAACAGAGCCCUUAACAGGGAGGGAGACCAGAUUAAGCCUAAAAGAAUCUGUCUUUAUAGUCUUUAUAUGUGAGGUAAUUAAAAACUCAUUGUGUUAGUUUUUCUGUUGUAAUAAAAUACUAAAAAAAAAAAAAAAAGGAAGAAAGAAAGAAAGAAAGAAUAAAAAUUUAAGGUACUGUGUUCCAAAGGUCAGCUGGAUCUACUGCCUACGUCUGAGGUCCCGCAGAGCGCUAUCGUGGGGCAAGAGAUGAAGGAGAGGGCUCCUGUCCUGGCACUUGGAUGCAAAGAGGCAGAGAGGAAGGGGCCAGGGACAAGAUGGACUCUUCAAAGCACGUUCCGCAUUCUCUCCGUAGGCUCUGCCUCCUAAGAGUUCAGCCUUGCACAGAUAGGGUCAGCACUUUGAUGGUCCAGUCACACCUACAGCUGGGGACCGAGCGUUCGGGGCAUGAUCGAGCAUUCCCAUCCACUCAUGGGGGAAGCAUUCAGAAUUUUAACAAAAGCACACACAUUUUCCGGAACUCUGGUUCCACUUGGUCUCUGCAGGGUUAGCAAAGACCGUCUGGGAUGGAAAUCUUCACAUCUUCAGCCCUUUGACUUUUUUUCAAAGGUAGUCCCCCAAGAAGGGUAUUUUCUACCUGUGGGCUCUAUGCCAGGCAUUGCAGUAAGCACAGGAGUGCCACAUAAUUGUCAUCAAAGAAGGGACUGUUUAGGCUGGGAAGACACAGACAGACAGACAAAUCAACGCCUAUCCCCCAGGUCUACCACUGUGAUUUGCAGAUAUCCUACUAAUGGGUACCUGUAACUUUGUUUUUUCAAAACCUACUUUUAAUGAUGGUUCUCAAACACUUUAACCUCCCUUUUAGCUCGCUACCCACCAGAGGUAGUGGUUAAGAAAGGACACAGGGGAAGUGGACCUGUAUAGAGAUGAUUCUUUGGAGCAAAUCCCGUCUGCCCUGUCAGGAAAUCAGAAGUUCAGUGCACAGGUCAGCAGAGGUAGCCCAGUCCACUCACAAACACUUCACGGAUACGCCAGCAGUCUAGUUUGGUAGAGUCGGGAUAGCGAACAUGAACCAGCAGCAGUGGCACUACCUAGCAGAGACAGCCAGGCCUCGGCCUCAGCAUGAGUCAGCAGGAGGGACCAGGGCCAGCAGGAGAAGUUCUCCUCUGUGCCUCUCAGCAAAGCAAGGAUCAGGAAAGACUCAAGAAAAAAGGCGUUGCACAGCCAGAUCUACAGGCAAGCCAAGCUCUGUCUCCAUCACUGACCUUUCAGUCCUAUUUAGAAUCCAUCCAAGCAUGGCAUAUCUUCCACAGUCUUCCCUCAGCUGACAUCGCUCUGACAACCAGCCUGAGUCAGCGGAAGUGACAAGGAGUCAACACACACCAACAACUUCUGGUACGUUUCUCACUAUGGAGUGCCAACAAUUGGAGCGCAACGACAGAGGGCAAGGCAGACCAACACAUGCGUGUCGUUAGUGAAGAAUCCCUCAUCAAGUGUCCUUUCACGUGCUUGCUUUAGUAGAACAUCCUUUCACCUGCGUCUGCUUCAGCAAAACGUUCCUUCACGUGUGUGCCCCAGCAAACCACCACCCAACACAACUGACUUUCCAAAGAACCCUUAGGUUUCCACUUCAGUUACCCCAUUAUCUUCAGAACGUACUCUGUCCAUCAAACCUGUGGCCUAUGGCCCAUGCCAGUAGGCUGUGUCUGUCCUGUGUGCUCCAAUAAUUUGCCACCAAGGUACCAACCCUGGUCUGUAGGUCUGAGUUGGAUCUGUCACUAGGCCUGGUCGCUUGGGGAAGAACUCAGGGAAUUUGACCGUCUGUAGGGAAGCUCCAAGGAACCACUCGGUGGUGGGAAAGCACACCUGAGACUGGGAAAGCUGGAGCAGGCCCAGGAGCUCCCCCGGCCUGUGAUGAGGCCAGAGGUAUGGGGUUCUCAAACUCUUGGAUAUCUUGGGAGUCUCAGAAGAGCAGAGAAUGGAGUUGGGGGGCCCUCGGGCUGGGAACAGAGCCUAGCCCAGGGUCAGGGUGAAAAGGGGAGCUCCUGUUGUCUCACGGGGAUUGUUGUCCUUAGCUUGGCAGAAGCAGGCUUUGUGGUGGUUGUGGCUGGGAUCUCAGAGAGGCCUUCUACGGGAGAUUAGGCUACAGCUCUAUAAACAAAGGCCUUUCCCAGGUUCCUCAUGGUGGAUCUUGACGAAACAGACAGUCCAUGGUUUAAACAGUUUAUUGUCGUGGCAGAAAAUGGAUGCAUAAAACUAUACCCACUUCUCAGGGUGGGCCUGAGAUUAAAUACCUUUUGCAGAGAGGAAUGUCUGGGAAGGGAAGCUUAUUGGCUAAGCCCUCUGGGCCUCUAGGUACCUCAUUAGCAUGGAGAACUCUGCUUUGGGCCUACAUGACCAGAGGACGAGUUUCUUUUAUGUGAGAAGCAUGGCACAUGUUCCAAGUCAGGAGUCCGGCAGGGAGCUGGGAGUCGCCUAAGCCUCAGGUGUGUGCCCACCAGGUCUUUGAGUCUCAAUCUGCUCUACCUUACCAAACUUCCUGGCAUGGUUUACACCCCACACUGGUUGUUGCUUAGCCCUCUGGGAUAUAGAAGAUUCUUUGAGACUGAUUAGCUUUUCUCAAACCCUGCAUUCUGCCAGGGUACCAUGGUGGAAUUUCUGCAAUCAGCUUUACCAAGGACCGAUGCAGAAAUGCCCGUUCCCUGCAGGGUGACUUCCAAGGUAUUCAUCGCAAGGACUGGAAGACAAUCUGCAUAACCGUCUCUUGGUAACUUCUUCUGGGGCCAAUGGUUGACUCAGAGCUUCAAGUGGAAUAUGUUGUCUAGAAGUAGGAGCUUAGGAUGGUUUUGUCUUUGGAAGACAUACUUUAAAGAGGGGCUGGGGAACUGCCUCAACAGUGUGUGCUGUGCAAACAAGGGGACCAGAGCUCAGAUAUGCAGAAGCCACAUACAUGCCCAGUUGAUAUGGUGGCCCAUCCAUAAUCCCAGCCUCUGAAGUAGACAGAGGAAUCUCUGGAACAAGCCGGCCAUUGAGACAGACCAUACGAACAAGUUCUGGGUUGGAUUGAGAAAUUCUCAAGUAGAAGAACCAUUGAGGAAGACUUCGAACAUCAACCUUGGGCUUUCACACACAUUUGAAUCUUUGUUUACGUGUUCAUUUGUGCUCACACAAACAUUCGUAUAGGCACUACACACACACACACACACACACACACACACACACAAACACACAUGAAAAUUUAAAAGAAUUUAAAAAUAAUCACAAAAAAAGAGGGAGAAGAGGAAAAAGAAAUAUUGUCCCAAAUAAGUUGGAGAAAGAGAACUAGGCAGAGGUAGAAAUUUAGCUAUGACGCAGACCCCAUGUUAGCCAACCCAGACCAUGCGAUGGAGUGAAUGUUGGUCAUUAGAGUGUUCUGCAGUGUGUUGCCAUGACCCCGGAGCUCCCCCCUAGUCACCAAGUGAGAGAUGCCCCGUGGAGUGUGAUGUGGAGAGGAAUUUUAAUCCCACAACAUGGCUGCUCUGGCAAGGGAAUCACAUGUAAGGAUGUGCUGGAAGGCGGACACACCCUGCAUUACUUUAUGAUCUGGCUGGAAUAUAGAUGCACCCUUAGUACACACCUUUAAUCCCUAACAAUGAAGGCAACAUUAGUUUGUAGAAGGAAGAAGCCAAUUUAAAUGUGAUGCCUAACUGAGGGGCAGACAAAGUGACAAAUCAGAGAAAGAUUUGACAGAAUGAGUCAGAGAUAGGAUAUGGGCAACUCAUAUAAGAACAACCCAGGAGGGGCUGGGGAUUUAGCUCAGUGGUAGAGCGCUUACCUAGGAAGGACAAGGCCCUGGGUUCGGUCCCCAGCUCCGAAAAAAAAGAACCAAAAAAAAAAAAAAAAAAAAAAAAGAACAACCCAGGAAAGAGAGGCUACUUAAAAGCAGCGAGAGAGAAAGAAAGGUGUGUGUGUGUGUGUGUGUGUGUGUGUGUGUAAAACAGUUACACUGACACAGUUUUACAGAGACAGGUUACAGAGAGAGCAAGCUAGACACAGGUGAAGACAGAAAGAGUCAGAGAAUGAGAAGGGGCCAGAAGAUUAGAACAUAGUGUCAAAGUUAGUCUGAGGCCAGGCAGAACAAUUCAGGCAGAAGCUGAGAGAAGCUGAAUUGAAUCAGUCAGCUUGGAGGAUGAGAUUGCAAAAAUGCUAGGCCAAGCCUAGGGAUAGUUAGAACAGAGAAUCGAAAAGAUAUUUCUCGGCCUGGUCAGGUGGGCACUCCUGAGGCUGCAGAGUGGAAGAGACCACCAACACUGCUCACCCCUGCCCACAUCCCUGGCCCAAGAGGAAACUGUAUAAGGCCUCUGGGCUCCCAUGGGGGAGGGCCCAGGAGCGGCAGGACCCCUGCCUGAGACACCACCGGAACCUGAAGGAAACAGACCGGAUAAACAGUUCUCUGCACCCAAAUCCCGUGAGAGGGAGAGCUAAAACUUCAGAGAGGCAGACAAGCCUGGGAAACCAGAAGAGACUGCACUCUGCAUACACAUCUCGGACGCCAGAGGAAAACACCAAAGGCCAUCUGGAACCCUGGUGCACUGAAGCUCCCGGAAGGGGCGGCACAGGUAUUCCUGGUUGCUACCGCUGCAGAGAGCCCGUGGGCAGCACCCCACGAGCGAACUUGAGCCUCGGGACCACAGGUAAGACCAACUUUUCUGCUGCAAGAAAGCUGCCUGGUGAACUCAAGACACAGGCCCACAGGAACAGCUGAAGACCUGUAAAGAGGAAAAACUACACGCCCGAAAGCAGAACACUCUGUCCCCAUAACUGACUGAAAGAGAGGAAAACAGGUCUACAGCACUCCUGACACACAGGCUUAUAGGACAGUCUAGCCACUGUCAGAAAUAGCAGAACAAAGUAACACUAGAGAUAAUCUGAUGGCGAGAGGCAAGCGCAGGAACCCAAGCAACAGAAACCAAGACUACUUGGCAUCAUCGGAGCCCAAUUCUCCCACCAAAACAAACAUGGAAUAUCCAAACACACCAGAAAAGCAAGAUCUAGUUUCAAAAUCAUAUUUGAUCAUGAUGCUGGAGGACUUCAAGAAAGACGUGAAGAACUCCCUUAGGGAAACACAGGAAAACAUUAAUAAACAAGUAGAAGCCUACAGAGAGGAAUCGAAAAAAUCCCUGAAAGAAUUCCAGGAAAACACAAUCAAACAG
Molecule: non-coding RNA, 9690 nt
Organism: Rattus norvegicus (Norway rat)
Lineage: Eukaryota; Metazoa; Chordata; Mammalia; Rodentia; Muridae
Source: RefSeq, a predicted model, not a curated record